GACGAACGCUGGCGGCGUGCUUAACACAUGCAAGUCGAACGGAAAGGCCCUGCUUGCCGGGUACUCGAGUGGCGAACGGGUGAGUAACACGUGGGAGAUCUGCCCUGCACUUCGGGAUAAGCCUGGGAAACUGGGUCUAAUACCGGAUAGGAGCCAUUUUUAGUGUGAUGGUUGGAAAGUUUUUUCGGUGUAGGAUGAGCUCGCGGCCUAUCAGCUUGUUGGUGGGGUAAUGGCCUACCAAGGCGGCGACGGGUAGCCGGCCUGAGAGGGUGGACGGCCACAUUGGGACUGAGAUACGGCCCAGACUCCUACGGGAGGCAGCAGUGGGGAAUAUUGCACAAUGGGCGCAAGCCUGAUGCAGCGACGCCGCGUGGGGGAUGACGGCCUUCGGGUUGUAAACUCCUUUCGCUAGGGACGAAGCUUUUUGUGACGGUACCUAGAUAAGAAGCACCGGCUAACUACGUG
This 465-nucleotide ribosomal RNA is filed under the name uncultured bacterium. RNAcentral's name for it is "partial 16S ribosomal RNA". It matches the Rfam family "Bacterial small subunit ribosomal RNA", at positions 28 to 507 of the family's 1533-position model. The record is from RNAcentral.